GGGCAACAUGAGCUCAUAGCGUAUAUUAAGUUGUUGCAGUUAAAAAGCUCGUAGUUGAAUUUCGGGAUUGACACAUCGGUCGUGCCUUAAGGGGUAUGAACUGGUGUAGUCAAUUUCUCACCUUCUGGAGAACCGCGAUGCCCUUAAUUGGGUGUCACGGGGAACCAGGACCUUUACUUUGAAAAAAUUAGAGUGUUUAAAGCAGGCAUUUUGCUUGAAUACAUUAGCAUGGAAUAAUAAAAUAGGACGGCAUGAUUCUAUUUUGUUGGUUUCUAGGAUCACCGUAAUGAUUAAUAGGGAUAGUUGGGGGCAUUAGUAUUCAAUUGUCAGAGGUGAAAUUCUUGGAUUUAUUGAAGACUAACUACUGCGAAAGCAUUUGCCAAGGAUGUUUUCAUUAAUCAAGAACGAAAGUUAGGGGAUCGAAGACGAUCAGAUACCGUCGUAGUCUUAACCAUAAACUAUGCCGACUAGGAAUCAGACGAUGUUAAUUUUUUAAUGACUCGUUUGGCACCUUACGGGAAACCAAAUGUUUGGGGGUCAAAGAAGGUUGU
This 551-nucleotide ribosomal RNA is filed under the name Entrophospora sp. Its description in RNAcentral is "SSU rRNA". It matches the Rfam family "Eukaryotic small subunit ribosomal RNA", at positions 577 to 1116 of the family's 1831-position model. Lineage: Eukaryota; Fungi; Glomeromycota; Glomeromycetes; Entrophosporales; Entrophosporaceae. The record is from RNAcentral.